This 206-nucleotide unclassified non-coding RNA is filed under the name Hevea brasiliensis (rubber tree). Lineage: Eukaryota; Viridiplantae; Streptophyta; Magnoliopsida; Malpighiales; Euphorbiaceae. The record is from RNAcentral.
GGCAUGAUUGGUCCUGAAUGAGAAGCAGCACCCCCAAAUGAUCCUGUCCUAGAAGGAGCACCAGUUAUAGGUCCAGAUUUCCUAGACUUUGAGCCAUCCACAGGAAUAUCAAACAUUUUACCCAAUUCUCCUGACUUCUUGAUAUCACCACCAGUGUAUGGCAUUGCCACAGAGCUCAUUGUUGGAGUCCUUUCCUUUGGCUGCUC